Molecule: ribosomal RNA, 465 nt
Filed under: uncultured bacterium
Lineage: Bacteria
Description: partial 16S ribosomal RNA
Rfam family: Bacterial small subunit ribosomal RNA
Source: RNAcentral
ACUACGGGAGGCAGCAGUAGGGAAUCUUCCACACAGGGCGCCAGCAAGAAAGCGCAACAACACGGUGGUGAAGAAGGUCUUCGGAUCGUAAAACCCUGUUGUUAGAGAAGAAAGUGCGUGAGAGUAACUGUUCACGUUUCGACGGUAUCUAACCAGAAAGCCACGGCUAACUACGUGCCAGCAGCCGCGGUAAUACGUAGGUGGCAAGCGUUAUCCGGAUUUAUUGGGCGUAAAGGGAACGCAGGCGGUCUUUUAAGUCUGAUGUGAAAGCCUUCGGCUUAACCGGAGUAGUGCAUUGGAAACUGGGAGACUUGAGUGCAGAAGAGGAGAGUGGAACUCCAUGUGUAGCGGUGAAAUGCGUAGAUAUAUGGAAGAACACCAGUGGCGAAAGCGGCUCUCUGGUCUGUAACUGACGCUGAGGUUCGAAAGCGUGGGUAGCAAACAGGAUUAGAUACCCGGGUAGUC